AUGAUUGCUUGACAACAGAGCCACAUAGGAGCGGAUAACCAAUGACGGACGAGGAAGGCGAUGUAGUCGAAGAAGCCAUAGCCUGGAAGUUCAACUGGGAGAUGUUCGAUUGUAGGAAACAUUGAAGGUGACAAGGGAGGAAAGAUCUAUAAGUUCUUUCAGUGAACUUUCGGUGAAGUGACUGAAGAACAAAUCGAUUACAUCAAGGUUGGAUAGGUUUGCAAUUGCCACGGUGACUGAACCAGUGAACAAAUUUUGGCCAAGAUCAAGGACCUUAAGGUUUACGCAAUUUAUAAGAGACUCUAGUAAGCUUUCCACAAACUGAUUUCUCGACAAGUUUACGUUGAAGAUUUCCUAUGGAGUUUUGUAUCUCGCCAAGUUACCGUCAGAAAGAUCCAAGAACUCCAGGCUUAUUGUAUCUCCAAUCCAGACUGGAAAUUCCCCCAUCCAUGAAUUGCCACUGACAUCAAGAUAUCAGCACAAUCCAAGUUUUCACAUUGAUAUAGGAAGGCCCCCAUUGAAAUAAUUGUCGCCAAAUCAAUAGCCUUCAACAGCAAACAAUUUCCAAUAUAUUCAGGCAGCCAGCCUAUAAACUUGUUCUUUUGCAAACUAAUUGCUUCAAAAUUAUACGCACUCUCAAUCCUUUU
RNAcentral lists this long non-coding RNA (647 nucleotides) under Olea europaea subsp. europaea. Lineage: Eukaryota; Viridiplantae; Streptophyta; Magnoliopsida; Lamiales; Oleaceae. The record is from RNAcentral.